CAGGUGCUGCAUGGCUGUCGUCAGCUCGUGUCGUGAGAUGUUCGGUUAAGUCCGCUAACGAGCGCAACCCUCACUGUGUGUUAUAUGUGUCACACGGGACUGCCGGUUUUAAGCCGGAGGAAGGUGGGGAUGACGUCAAGUCAGCAUGGCCUUUAUAUCCUGGGCUACACACACGCUACAAUGGUCGGUACAAUAGGUUGCCAAGCCGCGAGGCGGAGCCAAUCCAAAAAAGCCGGCCUCAGUUCAGAUUGUAGGCUGCAACUCGCCUGCAUGAAGAUGGAGUUGCUAGUAACCGCAGGUCAGCAAUACUGCGGUGAAUACGUUCCCGGGUCUU
Molecule: ribosomal RNA, 334 nt
Filed under: uncultured Anaerolineaceae bacterium
Lineage: Bacteria; Bacillati; Chloroflexota; Anaerolineae; Anaerolineales; Anaerolineaceae
Description: bacterial SSU rRNA
Rfam family: Bacterial small subunit ribosomal RNA
Source: RNAcentral